RNAcentral lists this ribosomal RNA (449 nucleotides) under uncultured bacterium. RNAcentral's name for it is "partial 16S ribosomal RNA". It matches the Rfam family "Bacterial small subunit ribosomal RNA", at positions 29 to 526 of the family's 1533-position model. The record is from RNAcentral.
AGCGAACGCUGGCGGCAGGCCUAACACAUGCAAGUCGAACGGAUCCUUCGGGAUUAGUGGCGGACGGGUGAGUAACACGUGGGAACGUGCCCUUUGGUUCGGAACAACUCAGGGAAACUUGAGCUAAUACCGGAUGUGCCCUUCGGGGGAAAGAUUUAUCGCCAUUGGAGCGGCCCGCGUCUGAUUAGCUAGUUGGUGAGGUAAAGGCUCACCAAGGCGACGAUCAGUAGCUGGUCUGAGAGGAUGAUCAGCCACAUUGGGACUGAGACACGGCCCAAACUCCUACGGGAGGCAGCAGUGGGGAAUCUUGCGCAAUGGGCGAAAGCCUGACGCAGCCAUGCCGCGUGAAUGAUGAAGGUCUUAGGAUUGUAAAAUUCUUUCACCGGGGACGAUAAUGGCGGUACCCGGAGAAGAAGCCCCGGCUAACUUCGUGCCAGCCGCCGUAAUAC